This 253-nucleotide ribosomal RNA is filed under the name uncultured bacterium. RNAcentral's name for it is "partial 16S ribosomal RNA". It matches the Rfam family "Bacterial small subunit ribosomal RNA", at positions 524 to 776 of the family's 1533-position model. The record is from RNAcentral.
UACGAAGGGGGCUAGCGUUGCUCGGAAUGACUGGGCGUAAAGGGCGCGUAGGCGGAGUGCUUUGUCGGGCGUGAAAUUCCAGGGCUCAACCUUGGGGCUGCGUUCGAGACGGGCAUUCUAGAGUGGAGAAGAGGGUCGUGGAAUUCCCAGUGUAGAGGUGAAAUUCGUAGAUAUUGGGAAGAACACCGGUGGCGAAGGCGGGUCUCUGGGCAGUAACUGACGCUGAGGAGCGAAAGCGUGGGGAGCGAACAGG